UUUAUAUAUUAUAAAAGCUAUAAUGCUAGAACUAGUAACAAGAAAUUUACUUUCUCCUUAAUGUAAAUAUAAGCCAGGAUGAACCCCUCACUGGCAUUUAACGCAUAUGAAAAUAUUGUAAUAACACUUCCUAGAAAACCUUACCAAUUUUAACGUUAACCUUACACCAGAACAUUACAGGAAAGAUUAAAAGAGAGAGAAGGAACUCGGCAAAUUUUAGCCCCGCCUGUUUACCAAAAACAUCGCCUCUUGACAAAACAUAAGAGGUCCAGCCUGCCCAGUGACAAAGUUUAACGGCCGCGGUAUCCUAACCGUGCGAAGGUAGCAUAAUCACUUGUUCUUUAAAUAAGGACUAGUAUCAACGGCAUCACGAGGGCCAUACUGUCUCCUCUCUUCAAUCAGUGAAACUGAUCUCCCCGUGAAGAAGCGAGGAUACAGUUAUAAGACGAGAAGACCCCAUGGAGCUUUAAGCAACAUUUUCACCUUUUAUCUUUAAAUCAACCUAAUAGAAAGAAUUGAAUCUUAGCUUUAGGUUGGGGGGACCGCGGAGUACAAACUAACCUCCACGACAAACGGGCAACGCCCUUAUCCACGAACUACAACUCUAAGAAUCAGAACACUGAUGUUUAUUGACCCAUCUUAUGAUCAACGAACCAAGUUACCCUGGGGAUAACAGCGCAAUCUACUUCAAGAGCCCCUAUCGACAAGUAGGUUUACGACCUCGAUGUUGG
This 731-nucleotide ribosomal RNA is filed under the name Amnirana galamensis (Galam white-lipped frog). RNAcentral describes it as "partial 16S ribosomal RNA". It matches the Rfam family "Bacterial large subunit ribosomal RNA", at positions 1493 to 2535 of the family's 2925-position model. Lineage: Eukaryota; Metazoa; Chordata; Amphibia; Anura; Ranidae. The record is from RNAcentral.